RNAcentral lists this ribosomal RNA (700 nucleotides) under Nostoc sp. 15.9. Its description in RNAcentral is "bacterial SSU rRNA". It matches the Rfam family "Bacterial small subunit ribosomal RNA", at positions 41 to 785 of the family's 1533-position model. Lineage: Bacteria; Bacillati; Cyanobacteriota; Cyanophyceae; Nostocales; Nostocaceae. The record is from RNAcentral.
GGUAUGCUUAACACAUGCAAGUCGAACGGUGCUUUAGGGCACAGUGGCGGACGGGUGAGUAACGCGUGAGAAUCUGGCUCUAGGUCUGGGACAACCACUGGAAACGGUGGCUAAUACCGGAUGUGCCGAGAGGUGAAAGGUUAACUGCCUGGAGAUGAGCUCGCGUCUGAUUAGCUAGUAGGUGUGGUAAGAGCGCACCUAGGCGACGAUCAGUAGCUGGUCUGAGAGGACGAUCAGCCACACUGGGACUGAGACACGGCCCAGACUCCUACGGGAGGCAGCAGUGGGGAAUUUUCCGCAAUGGGCGAAAGCCUGACGGAGCAAUACCGCGUGAGGGAGGAAGGCUCUUGGGUCGUAAACCUCUUUUCUCAGGGAAGAAAAAAAUGACGGUACCUGAGGAAUAAGCAUCGGCUAACUCCGUGCCAGCAGCCGCGGUAAUACGGAGGAUGCAAGCGUUAUCCGGAAUGAUUGGGCGUAAAGCGUCCGCAGGUGGCUAUGUAAGUCUGCUGUUAAAGAGUCUAGCUCAACUAGAUAAGAGCAGUGGAAACUACAAGGCUAGAGUACGUUCGGGGCAGAGGGAAUUCCUGGUGUAGCGGUGAAAUGCGUAGAGAUCAGGAAGAACACCGGUGGCGAAGGCGCUCUGCUAGGCCGUAACUGACACUGAGGGACGAAAGCUAGGGGAGCGAAUGGGAUUAGAUAC